RNAcentral lists this long non-coding RNA (1133 nucleotides) under Homo sapiens (human). RNAcentral describes it as "HSALNT0405266". The record is from RNAcentral. Lineage: Eukaryota; Metazoa; Chordata; Mammalia; Primates; Hominidae.
AAGGAAAGAGAUGGGAUUUGAAUCCAAGUCUGUCUCCAAAAGAAAAGGUUGGAAGCUAGAGAGGUUUGAUGGCCUGCUCAAGGUCAAACGGGCCCUAACUAGAACCCAGGUAUCCUCACUCCUGGUCCUGUCUACCUUCCACAAAGGAGACCUGUUGGUUUAUUUGAUGGUUUCAAGUUCUUCAUUGAAAUUAACCAAGGUAUGGCAUCCUGUGAUCUCCCAUCAAUUUGAGCCACAAGAAUCUAACUUGAUCAAUUAAUUCCUGCCUCAUUUUAUUCUGUUCUCUUCCUUCUCACAGGAAGUAACAUUUCUGCCAACAACAACAUCCACUCCUACUCAGCUCUUCGUUCCCUGCAAUUCCUGUCUUGCCCGACCCCUGCAGAGUGGAAGAAGGUGAUGGAUGGGCAGAGAAAUGGGAGAUGGACAGCUACCAGGGAAGAAUCUGUGAUUUGGGAGCCUUUUGGUGACAUGCACAUUCAAAGGACUAGGAAAGAAUGGCUUUUUCAAACAGCAUAAAUAGAAAACCAGUGGGCCCGAGCGCUCACUGCUACAUAAUGAACGUGCCUGCCUUUUCCUAACAACAUUUUAAGUCGGUAAUUGGCCCGACAGGGGACGUGAACUGUACACUGAGUCACAGAAUAGUACAGAAAAUCUCAGAAUGGCUUCACCUCCCAUCAGGAAAGCCUCCCGUGUACCAAGCCCUGUAGAGACACAUUUCUGGCAUUUGGAGGAGUGCAGACGUUCAAAAUAAGAAAGAGCUUCAGAGGACAACCGUCCCCUGGGUUCCCGGCCUUUUCCACAUCAGAAGACUCUUUGAUAUGUUCCCCUCUUUCCCUAGGGCCCCUUGUUCUAAAGGAUGCAGCCAGCAAACUAAACUGCUCUGAUCAUCUAAAAAAAAAGGAUAUGUUUCCCACAGAAUAACCACAGAUCUAUAUAACGAAUGAUCACUCAGUUAAUAUGAUGCCUCUAAAAGAUAAGUGGCCUGUCUCAUCUAAAAUAAUCAUAAUAUCAAUAAUAAUAUGAUUUUAUUGGGUGCUUACUAAAGCCCAGAUGAGGGAUUUACAAUGCUUAUCUUACUUAAUCCUUAUGAGACUGUCAUAAAGUUGUCUUUAUUUCACAGUUCAGGAAACAGA